UGAGUAACGCGUGGGUAACCUGCCCUUAAGUCUGGGAUACCAUUUGGAAACAGAUGCUAAUACCGGAUAAAAGCUACUUUCGCAUGAAAGAAGUUUAAAAGGCGGCGUAAGCUGUCGCUAAAGGAUGGACCUGCGAUGCAUUAGCUAGUUGGUAAGGUAACGGCUUACCAAGGCGAUGAUGCAUAGCCGAGUUGAGAGACUGAUCGGCCACAUUGGGACUGAGGACACGGCCCAAACUCCUACGGGAGGCAGCAGUCC
RNAcentral lists this ribosomal RNA (258 nucleotides) under uncultured Lactobacillus sp. RNAcentral describes it as "partial 16S ribosomal RNA". It matches the Rfam family "Bacterial small subunit ribosomal RNA", at positions 107 to 355 of the family's 1533-position model. Lineage: Bacteria; Bacillati; Bacillota; Bacilli; Lactobacillales; Lactobacillaceae. The record is from RNAcentral.